GAUCUGGCUCAGGACGAACGCUGGCGGCGUGCCUAAUACAUGCAAGUAGAACGCUGAAGAGAGGAGCUUGCUCUUCUUGGAUGAGUUGCGAACGGGUGAGUAACGCGUAGGUAACCUGCCUUGUAGCGGGGGAUAACUAUUGGAAACGAUAGCUAAUACCGCAUAACAAUGGAUGACCCAUGUCAUUUAUUUGAAAGGGGCAAAUGCUCCACUACAAGAUGGACCUGCGUUGUA
This 234-nucleotide ribosomal RNA is filed under the name uncultured bacterium. RNAcentral describes it as "partial 16S ribosomal RNA". It matches the Rfam family "Bacterial small subunit ribosomal RNA", at positions 15 to 240 of the family's 1533-position model. The record is from RNAcentral.